UACAGAGGCGGCAAGCGUUGUUCGGAAUUAUUGGGCGUAAAGAGCACGUAGGCGGCUGUGUAAGUCGGUUGUGAAAGCCUUCCGCUCAACGGAAGAACGGCAUCCGAUACUGCAUGGCUUGAGUGUGGGAGGGGAGAGUGGAACUUCUGGUGGAGCGGUGAAAUGCGUAGAUAUCAGAAGGAACACCGGCGGCGAAGGCGACUCUCUGGUCCAUAACUGACGCUGAGUGUGCGAAAGCUAGGGGAGCAAA
Molecule: ribosomal RNA, 250 nt
Filed under: uncultured bacterium
Lineage: Bacteria
Description: partial 16S ribosomal RNA
Rfam family: Bacterial small subunit ribosomal RNA
Source: RNAcentral